UUAUGUAUUAUCCGUUUUCGAAUGGAAUUAUUUUAUGUGCCCGAUCAACAACGGAUUCAUUUGGGAUACCUUUGGGACCCGUCUUGAAACACGGACCAAGGAGUCUAUCUAGUAUGCAAGUAAAUGGGAUAUUAAAACCUAUUUGCGUAAAUAACUUAACUGUUUUAAUGGGAUUACGAGUUUCAUUUCAUUUAUUUGUAAUGUGCUCCUCCAUCCCGGGGUAUUUUCAUAACAUAUAUGGGCAACUAUAUAUAGAAAAUAUACCAUGAGCAUACUGGAUAUGACCCGAAAGAUGGUGAACUAUGCCUGAUCAGGUUGAAGUCAGGGGAAACCCUGAUGGAGGACCGAAGCAAUUCUGACGUGCAAAUCGAUUGUCAGA
This 379-nucleotide ribosomal RNA is filed under the name Psectrotanypus varius. RNAcentral's name for it is "partial 28S ribosomal RNA". It matches the Rfam family "Eukaryotic large subunit ribosomal RNA", at positions 571 to 909 of the family's 3401-position model. Lineage: Eukaryota; Metazoa; Arthropoda; Insecta; Diptera; Chironomidae. The record is from RNAcentral.